AUGGCCGCUAUAACGUAGCCGCAGCCUGUUUUCAUAACAGUCCCUGAAAUAUGUGUUAUUCGCGAGCGACACGCGAAACUCGCAUAACCGGAAGGAAGGAAAGGUUUGAACGCCGUGAUGUCCAUAUGCAAAACACAAUGGUAGUUUUUCACGAGUGUUGCCGUAAAAUAAUGUCGUGACGUUCUCGCGAGAUCUAUUUUCGCCGUCAAUUUCACAAGUUUCUUUAGCGACUGCCGUUGCUCGAUUAAAGUGCACCUUGAUGGACGGACGUUGCAGUCGGAGACUAGUUGAGUUUUCCCAAGUGGGAAACUUCGUAUUUCAGAACACUACCAACCGAAUGAUGCCGGCAGCAAAACCAGCUAGUAGGUCACUACUGCACUUUUUCGAAUUCUUAAGAAAAAUAGAAAAGUAGAAAAUGACGUUGUCGGGAUAACCUUACCUUAACGUAUUGCGCCAUUCCCACCAUCCAGGUAAUUCCUUUAAGUCCUUGCCAACGUAUCCCACAUACGAAAUCGUCCAUAGCGGCCAGCAUCGUUCCACAAGAAAAUCCACCAAGCACGAAAAUCAUUCCAACUAUACUUAAAGACGUGCACCGAUGUAAAUAAGAUUUAAAGAGUCGACCAGAGGAAGCCAUUGUAAUUCUCCCUAAGAGCUUCCGAGUAUGGAGGCAAGAUGGCGUCCCGAUCGUAGAUGCCCUUACUAUUAUUGCGAUGAACUGACCCCCUGUCGUAGUUCGAAAGUUUGCCGCAAGGGUCGCUAAACGAAACGAAUGUAAACAACGCAGAAACCCGAAGUAAAAUCUAAAAGAUGCAAAAGUCAAUCGCGCAGUAUUAAAGAGAAUGAUGCAACGUCAAGCGUAAAGCAAAGUUUUGGUAUCUCUAUUUUGUACAAGUGGGAUGAAUUUCGCGGCGUCUGAACGCGGCUGCGGCUCAUUAUAUCACAGGUUUCUGGAUCCAUGAAAUUUAUGCAAAACGUGUAACAUCACCGAAUUUAUUUGGCCUCUUGCCUAUUUCGGCUCUGCCCAGAGGAGAUCGUCCUUACUGCUGCUGCUGCUGCAGGCUCAAAAGUCUCGCACGGACACCAGCUGAAAUCUUGACUCCGUGUAAAUGGUAAAGUGGAGUUUAGUAACCGGAAUUACUGGAAUAGAUUUACAUGCGAACAAUGAACGAUUGGUUCCAGUUGAGGCACAUAUCCACAUAUGCGGCUUACACAUGUCUAUCUGCUAUUCAAACAGUCGGACUAGCAAAUAACUGGCUAUACGAUACCGCGAAUCCCCAAUGCUGUCAGCGAUUCUGUAUCUUCGUUGGACAGGACUGAAAUCGGGUUGGCCCGGAAUUCCUCCGGAGGGCAAUGACUGAACGACAAGGAGCAAUUAAAGUUUUCAUCAUGACUCCAACGCGAAGGUCUCGGCUCCAAUUUCUGCUACGUCUACGUGCCAGAAGCAUCUGCACACACGUGUCUCUGUAUACCUCUGAGAAUUCGUAAGUCAAAUUACGCCAGGAAAUACGUGUAAAGAAUCUCCGGUGGACCUUUUGAAAAAUUUCCCAAGUUGCAAUCUGCAGCUAAAAAAACUCGAAACUUGUUGCCCUGCAUUUCCAGUACAUCUUGUGUAAAGUGACGUUGCAUCUGCCCCAUAAGGUUUCUAACGGCUGCCGGGACGAUUCCAGCGCAUCGGUAUCGAAGGUGAAAGUUUAUAAUUUACGCUAAUCUCGAUAUGUGAAAUCCGGAUCAGUCGCUAACCUUACUUGGUAACCGCGUUAGAAACUCAUCGUUCAUUAUCAUAGCUGCGAGUCACUUCCGGUUGACCCUGACUGAAAUCGUCCGAAUGGAUCUCCGCGGGUAACUGGAUUUAUGCGAAUGACAGCAGCCCAGGCUGCUCGUCUUAGAAAGUCUUUCACGAGGUGGCUUCUUCUCUGUAAAGCCUGAUCGAACUCUUCUUCCUGACCUUUGACCGGCACGCCAAUGGAAGUUUCGUCAGGGCAUUGGAUAACGAGGAGUGUCCGCAGGAUUUGUUGUUUCUCUUUCGGGAAGUUUGACGUGGUGUAUCUCAAAAUAAAAAAAAAAUAAAAUAAAUGAACGAGUGAAGAUAAUGGCUACGGAUGAUUUCAAUAAAUACUCUAUUAAACGCCAUUCAUGUGCUACACAGUAAAUAUUACAACGUAUUCGUAAUGUAAUAAUAAUAUUAAUAAUAUAUAUAAUAAAAAAUAAUAGUAAAUAAUCAUAAUCAGUUAUUUCGUAUAUAUGCAUAUAUAACAUAAUAUAGGUAUGUUAUAGAUGUAUAUAUAAAUACAUAAGUAUGCCUUUCGAUCACUUCAACAAUCGUCGCCAAAGCUCACUUCGACCUUUGCACUCGGGGAGCAACGUAACGAGAGACUUAUACGUAUGGCAAUUACUUUUAUUCUUCAUUUGAUUAGAUGUGAUUCGUUCCAGGUUUCAUUUUUUUCGCUCAGACACAGCAUACACGCCUAUCUGAUUCUUCUUCGAUAUUUUCAAGAUAUACAUAAAUUCCUCUUAUCGAAUAUUAGAUAACGUUAAAACCACU
This is a long non-coding RNA of Cephus cinctus (wheat stem sawfly), 2542 nucleotides long. RefSeq lists it as uncharacterized. The record is from RefSeq and is a predicted model, not a curated record. NCBI's taxonomy places the organism in Eukaryota, Metazoa, Arthropoda, Insecta, Hymenoptera, Cephidae. The transcript has 3 exons.